Molecule: ribosomal RNA, 407 nt
Filed under: uncultured bacterium
Lineage: Bacteria
Description: partial 16S ribosomal RNA
Rfam family: Bacterial small subunit ribosomal RNA
Source: RNAcentral
AUUGAACGCUGGCGGCAGGCCUAACACAUGCAAGUCGAGCGGAGCGUCGGACGGGUGCGUAAUGCCUAGGAAUCUGCCUGGUAGUUGGGGAUAACGUCCGGAAACGGGCGCUAAUCCCGCCUACUAUCCGAUGAGCCUAGGUUGGAUAACCUAGUGGGUGGGGUAAUGGCCUUCCAAGGCUGCGAUCCGUAACUGGCCUGAGUGGAUAAUCAGUCAAACUGGAAAUGGACAAAGGGCCAGACUCCAACGGGAGGAAGGAGUGGGGAACUUUAGCAAAUGGGGGAAAGCCGGAACCAGCAAUGCGGCGUGGGUAAAGAAGGUGUUCGGAUUGUAAAGCACUUUAAGUUGGAAGACGUUACCAAAAGAGUAAGCAACGGCUAACUACGUGCCAGCAGCCGCGGUAAUUC